This 23-nucleotide non-coding RNA is filed under the name Drosophila melanogaster (fruit fly). The record is from RNAcentral. RNAcentral also lists the same sequence under 3 other names. Lineage: Eukaryota; Metazoa; Arthropoda; Insecta; Diptera; Drosophilidae.
GGUUCAGUGGUAGAAUUCUCGCC